This 427-nucleotide ribosomal RNA is filed under the name uncultured bacterium. Its description in RNAcentral is "partial 16S ribosomal RNA". It matches the Rfam family "Bacterial small subunit ribosomal RNA", at positions 355 to 774 of the family's 1533-position model. The record is from RNAcentral.
UGGGGAAUAUUGCACAAUGGGCGCAAGCCUGAUGCAGCCAUGCCGCGUGUAUGAAGAAGGCCUUCGGGUUGUAAAGUACUUUCAGCGGGGAGGAAGGCGAUAAGGUUAAUAACCUUGUCGAUUGACGUUACCCGCAGAAGAAGCACCGGCUAACUCCGUGCCAGCAGCCGCGGUAAUACGGAGGGUGCAAGCGUUAAUCGGAAUUACUGGGCGUAAAGCGCACGCAGGCGGUCUGUCAAGUCGGAUGUGAAAUCCCCGGGCUCAACCUGGGAACUGCAUUCGAAACUGGCAGGCUAGAGUCUUGUAGAGGGGGGUAGAAUUCCAGGUGUAGCGGUGAAAUGCGGAGAGAUCUGGAGGAAUACCGGUGGCGAAGGCGGCCCCCUGGACAAAGACUGACGCUCAGGUGCGAAAGCGUGGGGAGCAAACA